RNAcentral lists this transfer RNA (90 nucleotides) under Synergistota bacterium. Its description in RNAcentral is "Synergistetes bacterium (hot springs metagenome) tRNA-Ser". It matches the Rfam family "tRNA". From Rfam's summary of the family: Transfer RNA (tRNA) molecules are approximately 80 nucleotides in length. The record is from RNAcentral. Lineage: Bacteria; Thermotogati; Synergistota.
GGUGAGGUGGCCGAGUAGGUCGAAGGCGCUCGCCUGCUAAGCGAGUAGAGGUAAUCCCUCUCGAGGGUUCGAAUCCCUCCCUCACCGCCA